GACGAACGCUGGCGGCGUGCUUAACACAUGCAAGUCGAACGGAAAGGCCCUGCUUGCCGGGUACUCGAGUGGCGUACGGGUGAGUAACACGUGGGUGAUCUGCCCUGCACUUCGGGAUAAGCCUGGGAAACUGGGUCUAAUACCGGAUAGGAGCCAUUUUUAGUGUGAUGGUUGGAAAGUUUUUUCGGUGUAGGAUGAGCUCGCGGCCUAUCAGCUUGUUGGUGGGGUAAUGGCCUACCAAGGCGGCGACGGGUAGCCGGCCUGAGAGGGUGGACGGCCACAUUGGGACUGAGAUACGGCCCAGACUCCUACGGGAGGCAGCAGUGGGGAAUAUUGCACAAUGGGCGCAAGCCUGAUGCAGCGACGCCGCGUGGGGGAUGACGGCCUUCGGGUUGUAAACUCCUUUCGCUAGGGACGAAGCUUUUUGUGACGGUACCUAGAGAAGAAGCACCGGCUAACUACGUG
This 465-nucleotide ribosomal RNA is filed under the name uncultured bacterium. RNAcentral describes it as "partial 16S ribosomal RNA". It matches the Rfam family "Bacterial small subunit ribosomal RNA", at positions 28 to 507 of the family's 1533-position model. The record is from RNAcentral.